GUUUUGUCUCAGACUGUCGUGGGGAGUAGUGUUUGAUUCUUCUUACUUUGUUGUCAGAGAACGUUUUUAAAUUAAAAUUCUUAUCAUCAGCAGAGAAGUAGAUUCCAUUGGUUAACACCUUUGUUCUAAACCAAAUAACAAAUCUAUAAAAUUUCUAAUAAGGCUGAAAACAUUUUGACCAAAAAGAAGAAAGCAUAUGGAGGAAAUGGAAACCAGGAAUAAUUCACAUAGCUGUUGCAAAUGGUCUGACGAUGCAGUCGAUACCUGGAACAUCACCUGAACGGAGUAUUCUUACCUGAGUCAUGGGCAAGUCACUCGUUUAAGAAACUAUUUUAAAUGCAAAACACACACUCCCAAAGUCUGGGGAUAUACCCAUCAGCUCAAAGAAAGGAAAAGUAAUGCUGCAUUAAGAAGUUAAAGCUGGCCUCUGUUAGGAACAGCUGGACUGCACACCUCAAUGAGAGUAUUUGAAAGGAACACCUGUGACUGUCAACGAGCUGCUGAUCAUGAAGAGUGGGGUGCCUGGGAGGAGUUGUUAGAGAACCCUUCUCCUGACUGGAAA
RNAcentral lists this long non-coding RNA (562 nucleotides) under Equus asinus (donkey). RNAcentral's name for it is "lncRNA (ENSEASG00005036897.1)". Lineage: Eukaryota; Metazoa; Chordata; Mammalia; Perissodactyla; Equidae. The record is from RNAcentral.